Molecule: ribosomal RNA, 465 nt
Filed under: Vreelandella stevensii
Lineage: Bacteria; Pseudomonadati; Pseudomonadota; Gammaproteobacteria; Oceanospirillales; Halomonadaceae
Description: partial 16S ribosomal RNA
Rfam family: Bacterial small subunit ribosomal RNA
Source: RNAcentral
CCUACGGGUGGCUGCAGUGGGGAAUAUUGGACAAUGGGGGGAACCCUGAUCCAGCCAUGCCGCGUGUAUGAAGAAGGCCCUCGGGUUGUAAAGCACUUUCAGUGAGGAAGAACGCCUGGUGGUUAAUACCCAUCAGGAAAGACAUCACUCACAGAAGAAGCACCGGCUAACUCCGUGCCAGCAGCCGCGGUAAUACGGAGGGUGCGAGCGUUAAUCGGAAUUACUGGGCGUAAAGCGCGCGUAGGUGGCUUGAUAAGCCGGUUGUGAAAGCCCCGGGCUCAACCUGGGAACGGCAUCCGGAACUGUCAAGCUAGAGUGCAGGAGAGGAAGGUAGAAUUCCCGGUGUAGCGGUGAAAUGCGUAGAGAUCGGGAGGAAUACCAGUGGCGAAGGCGGCCUUCUGGACUGACACUGACACUGAGGUGCGAAAGCGUGGGUAGCAAACAGGAUUAGAUACCCUGGUAGUC